Molecule: ribosomal RNA, 699 nt
Filed under: Bacillus licheniformis
Lineage: Bacteria; Bacillati; Bacillota; Bacilli; Caryophanales; Bacillaceae
Description: bacterial SSU rRNA
Rfam family: Bacterial small subunit ribosomal RNA
Source: RNAcentral
GCGGACCGACGGGAGCUUGCUCCCUUAGGUCAGCGGCGGACGGGUGAGUAACACGUGGGUAACCUGCCUGUAAGACUGGGAUAACUCCGGGAAACCGGGGCUAAUACCGGAUGCUUGAUUGAACCGCAUGGUUCAAUCAUAAAAGGUGGCUUUUAGCUACCACUUACAGAUGGACCCGCGGCGCAUUAGCUAGUUGGUGAGGUAACGGCUCACCAAGGCGACGAUGCGUAGCCGACCUGAGAGGGUGAUCGGCCACACUGGGACUGAGACACGGCCCAGACUCCUACGGGAGGCAGCAGUAGGGAAUCUUCCGCAAUGGACGAAAGUCUGACGGAGCAACGCCGCGUGAGUGAUGAAGGUUUUCGGAUCGUAAAACUCUGUUGUUAGGGAAGAACAAGUACCGUUCGAAUAGGGCGGCACCUUGACGGUACCUAACCAGAAAGCCACGGCUAACUACGUGCCAGCAGCCGCGGUAAUACGUAGGUGGCAAGCGUUGUCCGGAAUUAUUGGGCGUAAAGCGCGCGCAGGCGGUUUCUUAAGUCUGAUGUGAAAGCCCCCGGCUCAACCGGGGAGGGUCAUUGGAAACUGGGGAACUUGAGUGCAGAAGAGGAGAGUGGAAUUCCACGUGUAGCGGUGAAAUGCGUAGAGAUGUGGAGGAACACCAGUGGCGAAGGCGACUCUCUGGUCUGUAACUGACGC